GAAUCUAAUGAGCGGAGCUACUAAUGUUCUAAUAUCUGACUGCAGAGCUGCCACGGAGACGAGACGUCAGCGACGUGUUUGUCGGUCUGUUCGGGCGCAGAGAUGUCGACUCGGGUGAGUCGGAUAUCGCUAAAGGCCUCGCUGCGUGGAGACGAGAGAGACGGGGCGGAGUCUUCUCAAACAACCGAAGACUCAGAUAUCGUCGUCCCACCUGAAGCGCCGCCUUAACGACGACGUGGAAUUCGAGAGCGACGGUUCUGAUCUCUCCGCCUGGAGUUUACGUUUUUUAUUUUUCACGUGAAGAUUUAAAUGGAGUUUAUUUUACAUCUGAUUUUUCUUCUGAAGGUUUUUUUUUUUUUUUUUUUUAAAUCUAGUGCAACAUAACUGAAAAAUAUCAGUAUUACGAGGUCAUAAGGUCAAUACAUCAUUUCAUCUCUACAGGUCUAGGUAGGAUCCCUUACAGGCUUGCGGGUUCAAAAAAGUAUUGGCACCCACCCCAUAAAUAAAUAUAAGCCAAAAAAAACAUAACUAUAGAAUAAACGCGAGACACGGUGACUUUUCCACUCAAACGCUUACAUAAUGGGAUUUUUAUAUGGAAAAAAAAAAAAUUUGUUGCAAAAUUAUUGGCACCCCAACCAAAAAAUGUACAGCAAUCAUCAGUCUUUGAAAAAACACAUAGUAGUUGUUAUAUUUAAAUUGGUCUGAGUCCACACUCACUCAUUUCCUGCUAAUAGAGAAGUAUAACAAAAAUUAACUCAGUCAUCCAUCAGCAUGAAGAAAAAAACAAACAAAGCUACAGGUUUCAAUAUAAAUUACAGAGAGUUAUUGGUCUGCACAAUAAACGCGGUAAUAGACAUAAUAAAAAGAAAACGUUAUAAAUAUAGAACAGUUUAAAAUUAGCCACGGAUUGGGUCUAUGAUCCGUCAAGUCCCAGACCCCAAAACAGGGUUGCCUCUGCAAGUAGGUUAAGACUUGACCAUAGAUGGUUCUUUCAACAAGUCGAUGAUCCAAGGAACACUUCAAUCAAAACAGAAAAGGUUGUAGAACACAAUUGUGCGAACUCAGUCUCCG
Molecule: long non-coding RNA, 1071 nt
Organism: Ictalurus punctatus (channel catfish)
Lineage: Eukaryota; Metazoa; Chordata; Actinopteri; Siluriformes; Ictaluridae
Source: Ensembl